RNAcentral lists this long non-coding RNA (492 nucleotides) under Gouania willdenowi (blunt-snouted clingfish). RNAcentral describes it as "lncRNA (ENSGWIG00000011970.1)". Lineage: Eukaryota; Metazoa; Chordata; Actinopteri; Blenniiformes; Gobiesocidae. The record is from RNAcentral.
AAGAAAAGCUGCAAUUUCUACUUUUGCUGAAAAUCUUGAGCCGCUGACUUCAAACGCAGGUUGUAUCUGACGGAGAGACCGGUGGUGCCGCGCUCCCCAUCAUCAUCAUCAUCUUCUUCUUCUCCUCCUCCUCUCCUGCGUUCCAUCGUCAACAACAACAACACAAGGAUUUAACGUCUCUAACGUGAGGACGAGAGCACAAAAGUGAUCCCAGCACAACUUUGUUCUGCAGGGCUCUGCAACGGUUGAUUGAUUGAUCAGGAAUUCGAUGCUGGGUUCCUCAUUGCCUGUGGAGUCAGCUACAGCAGCAGCUACAGCAGCAGCUACAGCCAGUCGAUUGAACCAGCUUCAGGCCGACCGGCUUCCCCCGUACAUGGAGACCCCCAGCUGGGCAGGUCAGACUCGUUACUGCACACACACACACACACACACGUACACACACACACACACACACACACAAUCGGAGCUUUCUGCGUCUGCUCCGUGACACUU